GCGGCAGGCUUAACACAUGCAAGUCGAGCGGGGGAAGGUAGCUUGCUACCGGACCUAGCGGCGGACGGGUGCGUAACGCGUGGGAAUUUGCCCUUGGGUUCGGAAUAACAGCGGGAAACUGCUGCUAAUACCGGAUGAUGACGUAAGUCCAAAGAUUUAUCGCCCAGGGAUGAGCCCGCGUAGGAUUAGGUAGUUGGUGGGGUAAAGGCCUACCAAGCCUACGAUCCUUAGCUGGUCUGAGAGGAUGAUCAGCCACACUGGGACUGAGACACGGCCCAGACUCCUACGGGAGGCAGCAGUAGGGAAUAUUGGACAAUGGGGGCAACCCUGAUCCAGCAAUGCCGCGUGAGUGAUGAAGGCCUUAGGGUUGUAAAGCUCUUUUACCCGGGAUGAUAAUGACGGUACCGGGAGAAUAAGCCCCGGCUAACUCCGUGCCAGCCGCCGCAGUAA
RNAcentral lists this ribosomal RNA (450 nucleotides) under uncultured bacterium. Its description in RNAcentral is "partial 16S ribosomal RNA". It matches the Rfam family "Bacterial small subunit ribosomal RNA", at positions 39 to 523 of the family's 1533-position model. The record is from RNAcentral.